UACGAAGGGGGCUAGCGUUGUUCGGAAUUACUGGGCGUAAAGCGCACGUGGGCGGAUUGUUAAGUCAGGGGUGAAAUCCCGGGGCUCAACCUCGGAACUGCCUUUGAUACUGGCAAUCUCGAGUCCGGAAGAGGUGAGUGGAAUUCCUAGUGUAGAGGUGAAAUUCGUAGAUAUUAGGAAGAACACCGGUGGCGAAGGCGGCCCACUGGCUCGAUACUGACGCUGAGGUGCGAAAGCGUGGGGAGCAAACAGG
RNAcentral lists this ribosomal RNA (253 nucleotides) under uncultured prokaryote. RNAcentral describes it as "partial 16S ribosomal RNA". It matches the Rfam family "Bacterial small subunit ribosomal RNA", at positions 524 to 776 of the family's 1533-position model. The record is from RNAcentral.